RNAcentral lists this ribosomal RNA (489 nucleotides) under uncultured bacterium. Its description in RNAcentral is "partial 16S ribosomal RNA". It matches the Rfam family "Bacterial small subunit ribosomal RNA", at positions 30 to 506 of the family's 1533-position model. The record is from RNAcentral.
AUUGAACGCUGGCGGCAGGCCUAACACAUGCAAGUCGAACGGUAACAGGAAGCAGCUUGCUGCUUCGCUGACGAGUGGCGGACGGGUGAGUAAUGUCUGGGAAACUGCCUGAUGGAGGGGGAUAACUACUGGAAACGGUAGCUAAUACCGCAUAACGUCGCAAGACCAAAGAGGGGGACCUUAGGGCCUCUUGCCAUCGGAUGUGCCCAGAUGGGAUUAGCUAGUAGGUGGGGUAACGGCUCACCUAGGCGACGGUCCCUAGCUGGUCUGAGAGGAUGACCCGCCCCUCUGGAACUGAGACACCGUCCAGACUCCGACGGGAGGCAGCAGUGGGUAAUAUUGCACAAUGGGCGCAAGCCUGAUGCAGCCAUGCCGCGUGUAUGAAGAAGGCCUUCGGGUUGUAAAGUACUUUCAGCGGGGAGGAAGGGAGUAAAGUUAAUACCUUUGCUCAUUGACGUUACCCGCAGAAGAAGCGCCGGCUAACUCCGU